RNAcentral lists this ribosomal RNA (433 nucleotides) under uncultured bacterium. Its description in RNAcentral is "partial 16S ribosomal RNA". It matches the Rfam family "Bacterial small subunit ribosomal RNA", at positions 29 to 507 of the family's 1533-position model. The record is from RNAcentral.
AACGAACGCUGGCGGCAUGCCUAACACAUGCAAGUCGAACGAGACCUUCGGGUCUAGUGGCGCACGGGUGCGUAACGCGUGGGAACCUGCCCUUAGGUUCGGAAUAACUCCCCGAAAGGGGUGCUAAUACCGGAUAAUGUCUUCGGACCAAAGAUUUAUCGCCUUUGGAUGGGCCCGCGUUGGAUUAGCUAGUUGGUAGGGUAAAAGCCUACCAAGGCGACGAUCCAUAGCUGGUCUGAGAGGAUGAUCAGCCACACUGGGACUGAGGCACGGCCCAGACUCCUACGGGAGGCAGCAGUGGGGAAUAUUGGACAAUGGGCGAAAGCCUGAUCCAGCAAUGCCGCGUGAGUGAUGAAGGCCUUAGGAUUGUAAAGCUCUUUUACCCGGGAUGAUAAUGACAGUACCGGGAGAAUAAGCUCCGGCUAACUCCGUG